UACAGAGGAUGCAAGCGUUAUCCGGAAUGAUUGGGCGUAAAGCGUCUGUAGGUGGCUUUUUAAGUCCGCCGUCAAAUCCCAGGGCUCAACUCUGGACAGGCGGUGGAAACUACCAAGCUGGAGUACGGUAGGGGCAGAGGGAAUUUCCGGUGGAGCGGUGAAAUUCGUAGAUAUUGGGAAGAACACCAGUGGCGAAGGCGGCUAUCUGGACCGUAACUGACGCUGAGACGCGAAAGCGUGGGGAGCAAACAGG
Molecule: ribosomal RNA, 253 nt
Filed under: uncultured bacterium
Lineage: Bacteria
Description: partial 16S ribosomal RNA
Rfam family: Bacterial small subunit ribosomal RNA
Source: RNAcentral